GACGAACGCUGGCGGCGUGCUUAACACAUGCAAGUCGAACGGAAAGGCCCUGCUUUUGUGGGGUGCUCGAGUGGCGAACGGGUGAGUAACACGUGAGUAACCUGCCCUUGACUUUGGGAUAACUUCAGGAAACUGGGGCUAAUACCGGAUAGGAGCUCCUGCUGCAUGGUGGGGGUUGGAAAGUUUCGGCGGUUGGGGAUGGACUCGCGGCUUAUCAGCUUGUUGGUGGGGUAGUGGCUUACCAAGGCUUUGACGGGUAGCCGGCCUGAGAGGGUGACCGGCCACAUUGGGACUGAGAUGCGGCCCAGACUACUACGGGAGGCAGCAGUGGGGAAUAGUGCACAAUGGGCGGAAGCCUGAUGCAGCCAAGCCGCGUGCGGGAUGACGGCCUUCGGGUUGUAUACCGCUUUCGCCUGUGACGAAGCGUGAGUGACGGUAAUGGGUAAAGAAGCACCGGCUAACUACGUG
RNAcentral lists this ribosomal RNA (468 nucleotides) under uncultured bacterium. RNAcentral describes it as "partial 16S ribosomal RNA". It matches the Rfam family "Bacterial small subunit ribosomal RNA", at positions 28 to 507 of the family's 1533-position model. The record is from RNAcentral.